UACGUAGGGUGCAAGCGUUGUCCGGAAUUAUUGGGCGUAAGGAGCUCGUAGGCGGUCUGUCGCGUCGGAUGUGAAAAUCCAGGGCUCAACCCUGGACCUGCAUUCGAUACGGGCAGACUAGAGUUCGGCAGGGGAGACUGGAAUUCCUGGUGUAGCGGUGAAAUGCGCAGAUAUCAGGAGGAACACCGGUGGCGAAGGCGGGUCUCUGGGCCGAUACUGACGCUGAGGAGCGAAAGCGUGGGGAGCGAACAGG
RNAcentral lists this ribosomal RNA (253 nucleotides) under uncultured bacterium. RNAcentral's name for it is "partial 16S ribosomal RNA". It matches the Rfam family "Bacterial small subunit ribosomal RNA", at positions 524 to 776 of the family's 1533-position model. The record is from RNAcentral.